GACGAACGCUGGCGGCGUGCUUAACACAUGCAAGUCGAGCGGUAAGGCCCUUUCGGGGGUACACGAGCGGCGAACGGGUGAGUAACACGUGGGUGACCUGCCCUCAGCUCUGGGAUAAGCCUGGGAAACUGGGUCUAAUGCUGGAUAUGACUCCACGGUGCAUGUCGUGGGGUGGAAAGCCUUGUGCGGCUGAGGAUGGGCCCGCGGCCUAUCAGCUUGUUGGUGGGGUGAUGGCCUACCAAGGCGACGACGGGUAGCCGGCCUGAGAGGGCGACCGGCCACACUGGGACUGAGACACGGCCCAGACUCCUACGGGAGGCAGCAGUGGGGAAUCUUGCGCAAUGGGCGAAAGCCUGACGCAGCGACGCCGCGUGAGGGAUGACGGCCUC
This 389-nucleotide ribosomal RNA is filed under the name uncultured bacterium. RNAcentral describes it as "bacterial SSU rRNA". It matches the Rfam family "Bacterial small subunit ribosomal RNA", at positions 28 to 418 of the family's 1533-position model. The record is from RNAcentral.